This 257-nucleotide ribosomal RNA is filed under the name uncultured bacterium. RNAcentral's name for it is "partial 16S ribosomal RNA". It matches the Rfam family "Bacterial small subunit ribosomal RNA", at positions 28 to 284 of the family's 1533-position model. The record is from RNAcentral.
GACGAACGCUGGCGGCGUGCUUAACACAUGCAAGUCGAACGGUGAAGCCUUUCGGGGGUGGAUCAGUGGCGAACGGGUGAGUAACACGUGGGCAACCUGCCCCUGACUUCGGGAGUAAGCCCGGGAAACCGGGUCGUAAUACCGGAUAUGAUCACGUCCCGCAUGGGGUGGUGGUGGAAAGUUUUUCGGUUCAGGGAGUGGCGUCGCGGCCUAUCAGCUUGUUGGUGGGGUGAUGGCCUACCAAGGCGACGACGGGA